This 253-nucleotide ribosomal RNA is filed under the name uncultured bacterium. Its description in RNAcentral is "partial 16S ribosomal RNA". It matches the Rfam family "Bacterial small subunit ribosomal RNA", at positions 524 to 776 of the family's 1533-position model. The record is from RNAcentral.
GACGAACCGUGCGAACGUUGUUCGGAAUCACUGGGCUUAAAGGGCGCGUAGGCGGGCCCGUCGGUCAGGGGUGAAAGCCCGCGGCUCAACCGCGGAAGUGCCCCUGAUACCGCGGGCCUCGAGGGGGGUAGGGGCGUGCGGAACUUCCGGUGGAGCGGUGAAAUGCGUAGAUAUCGGAAGGAACACCGGUGGCGAAAGCGGCGCGCUGGACCCCUUCUGACGCUGAGGCGCGAAAGCCAGGGGAGCAAACGGG